GCGGUGGAGCAUGUGGUUAAUUCGACGCAACGCGAAGAACCUUACCAGGGCUUGACAUCCCCUGACCGCGUAUGAAAGUACGUUUUCACCCUCGGGUGACAGGGAGACAGGUGGUGCAUGGUUGUCGUCAGCUCGUGUCGUGAGAUGUUGGGUUAAGUCCCGCAACGAGCGCAACCCCUACGUUUAGUUGCUAACAGGUGAAGCUGAGCACUCUAGACGAACUGCCGUUGACAAAACGGAGGAAGGUGGGGAUGACGUCAAAUCAUCAUGCCCCUUAUGUUCUGGGCUACACACGUGCUACAAUGGCCGGUACAGACGGAGGCGAAGCCGCGAGGCGGAGCAAAACCGAAAAAGCCGGUCUCAGUUCGGAUUGCAGGCUGCAAUUCGCCUGCAUGAAGUCGGAAUCGCUAGUAAUCGCAGGUCAGCAUACUGCGGUGAAUACGUUCCCGGGCCUU
This 455-nucleotide ribosomal RNA is filed under the name uncultured Pelotomaculum sp. RNAcentral describes it as "bacterial SSU rRNA". It matches the Rfam family "Bacterial small subunit ribosomal RNA", at positions 929 to 1382 of the family's 1533-position model. Lineage: Bacteria; Bacillati; Bacillota; Clostridia; Eubacteriales; Desulfotomaculaceae. The record is from RNAcentral.